Molecule: long non-coding RNA, 1791 nt
Filed under: Homarus americanus (American lobster)
Lineage: Eukaryota; Metazoa; Arthropoda; Malacostraca; Decapoda; Nephropidae
Description: uncharacterized LOC121858819
Source: RNAcentral
GAAGUCAGACUUGUUCCGGGAUAAUAAUAAACUUGUAGCACUGGCAGUAAACUGGGCCAUAUAUUUUCUAAUACUAUAAUUAUAUGGCAUUAAAAUUACUUGUAAAAUCAAGGUCAUAACACUUCCUGGAUUCUUUGUAAUUACGACUGUACUGUAGGUCACAGAGGCAGUACUAGGUCACACAGUGUACUGUAGGUCAUAGAGGCAGUACUAGGUCACACAGUGUACUGUAGGUCACAGAGGCAGUACUAGGUUACACAGUGUACUGUAGGUCAUAGAGGCAGUACUAGGUCACACAGUGUACUGUAGGUCACAGAGGCAGUACUAGGUCACACAGUGUACUGUAGGUCACAGAGGCAGUACUAGGUCACACAGUGUACUGUAGGUGAUAGAGGCAGUACUAGGUCACACAGUGUACUGUAGGUCAUAGAGGCAGUACUAGGUCACACAGUGUACUGUAGGUCAUAGAGGCAGUACUAGGUCACACAGUGUACUGUAGGUCAUAGAGGCAGUACUAGGUCAUACAGUGUACUGUAGGUCACAGAGGCAGUACUAGGUCACACAGUGUACUGUAGGUCAUAGAGGCAGUACUAGGUCACACAGUGUACUGUAGGUCACAGAGGCAGUACUAGGUCACACAGUGUACUGUAGGUCAUAGAGGCAGUACUAGGUCACACAGUGUACUGUAGGUCACAGAGGCAGUACUAGGUCACACAGUGUACUGUAGGUCACAGAGGCAGUACUAGGUCACACAGUGUACUGUAGGUCAUAGAGGCAGUACUAGGUCACACAGUGUACUGUAGGUCAUAGAGGCAGUACUAGGUCACACAGUGUACUGUAGGUCAUAGAGGCAGUACUAGGUCACACAGUGUACUGUAGGUCAUAGAGGCAGUACUAGGUCACACAGUGUACUGUAGGUCAUAGAGGCAGUACUAGGUCACACAGUGUACUGUAGGUCAUAGAGGCAGUACUAGGUCACACAGUGUACUGUAGGUCAUAGAGGCAGUACUAGGUCACACAGUGUACUGUAGGUCAUAGAGGCAGUACUAGGUCACACAGUGUACUGUAGGUCAUAGAGGCAGUACUAGGUCACACAGUGUACUGUAGGUCAUAGAGGCAGUACUAGGUCACACAGUGUACUGUAGGUCAUAGAGGCAGUACUAGGUCACACAGUGUACUGUUGGUCACAGAGGCAGUACUAGGUCACACAGUGUUGUAAGAUAUGAAUUAUUAUGAAUGAAAGCCAUACACUGGGCAUCGCUGUUCAUUGGUGUUCAUGUUUACAGAUUUAUUUAAGAAAGUUAUACAACCAAAACAAGAGUAAGUGCCCCAACAUCUGCAUAUAAUUAUUCUUGAGCAGUUAUAGUUACACGUACAUGUGGCUGUAGUUAUGUGUAGAGAAGGAUGGAUUAGGUACUGAUGUUUUGGCUGCGUAGUAACCAUAUUCUGUUACAAUGAACAUCCAGGGACUGUGUAAACACCUUGUGACGCCUGAGAACACAAGUCAGGUUCAGAUUCUUGUAAGAGCUCUCCUUCCUCACGUGGAUGAAGACGAUUACUAGCUGCUGUAUUUAUGAAUGGUUGGCGGCUGUGGGAUAAUUCUCUUCUCCUAAAUUAAAAUCUCCUUAAGACUUUUACCGCGAGAGGAAAGAAUGAAUAGAAGAGAAGAGAGGAGAAUUAACUGUCGUUCAAAAGGUUUUUCUUUGGUCUCAUAAGAUCUAGAGGUGAUUGAAAGUUUAUUUUACCAAAAAACCCCAACUGUUCAAGAACGCCAUAAAUAACACUACAAUU